This 1435-nucleotide ribosomal RNA is filed under the name uncultured organism. RNAcentral describes it as "SSU rRNA". It matches the Rfam family "Bacterial small subunit ribosomal RNA". The record is from RNAcentral.
CUACAGGCUUAACACAUGCAAGUCGAGGGGCAGCAUGGUCUUAGCUUGCUAAGGCCGAUGGCGACCGGCGCACGGGUGAGUAACACGUAUCCAACCUGCCGUCUACUCUUGGACAGCCUUCUGAAAGGAAGAUUAAUACAAGAUGGCAUCAUGAGUCCGCAUGUUCACAUGAUUAAAGGUAUUCCGGUAGACGAUGGGGAUGCGUUCCAUUAGAUAGUAGGCGGGGUAACGGCCCACCUAGUCUUCGAUGGAUAGGGGUUCUGAGAGGAAGGUCCCCCACAUUGGAACUGAGACACGGUCCAAACUCCUACGGGAGGCAGCAGUGAGGAAUAUUGGUCAAUGGGCGAGAGCCUGAACCAGCCAAGUAGCGUGAAGGAUGACUGCCCUAUGGGUUGUAAACUUCUUUUAUAAAGGAAUAAAGUCGGGUAUGGAUACCCGUUUGCAUGUACUUUAUGAAUAAGGAUCGGCUAACUCCGUGCCAGCAGCCGCGGUAAUACGGAGGAUCCGAGCGUUAUCCGGAUUUAUUGGGUUUAAAGGGAGCGUAGAUGGAUGUUUAAGUCAGUUGUGAAAGUUUGCGGCUCAACCGUAAAAUUGCAGUUGAUACUGGAUAUCUUGAGUGCAGUUGAGGCAGGCGGAAUUCGUGGUGUAGCGGUGAAAUGCUUAGAUAUCACGAAGAACUCCGAUUGCGAAGGCAGCCUGCUAAGCUGCAACUGACAUUGAGGCUCGAAAGUGUGGGUAUCAAACAGGAUUAGAUACCCUGGUAGUCCACACGGUAAACGAUGAAUACUCGCUGUUUGCGAUAUACUGCAAGCGGCCAAGCGAAAGCGUUAAGUAUUCCACCUGGGGAGUACGCCGGCAACGGUGAAACUCAAAGGAAUUGACGGGGGCCCGCACAAGCGGAGGAACAUGUGGUUUAAUUCGAUGAUACGCGAGGAACCUUACCCGGGCUUAAAUUGCAGAUGAAUUACGGUGAAAGCCGUAAGCCGCAAGGCAUCUGUGAAAGUGCUGCAUGGUUGUCGUCAGCUCGUGCCGUGAGGUGUCGGCUUAAGUGCCAUAACGAGCGCAACCCUUGUUGUCAGUUACUAACAGGUUCCGCUGAGGACUCUGACAAGACUGCCAUCGUAAGAUGUGAGGAAGGUGGGGAUGACGUCAAAUCAGCACGGCCCUUACGUCCGGGGCUACACACGUGUUACAAUGGGGGGUACAGAGGGCCGCUACCACGCGAGUGGAUGCCAAUCCCCAAAACCUCUCUCAGUUCGGACUGGAGUCUGCAACCCGACUCCACGAAGCUGGAUUCGCUAGUAAUCGCGCAUCAGCCACGGCGCGGUGAAUACGUUCCCGGGCCUUGUACACACCGCCCGUCAAGCCAUGGGAGCCGGGGGUACCUGAAGUGCGUAACCGCGAGGAGCGCCCUAGGGUAAAACUGGUGACUGGG